This 327-nucleotide ribosomal RNA is filed under the name uncultured eukaryote. Its description in RNAcentral is "partial 18S ribosomal RNA". It matches the Rfam family "Eukaryotic small subunit ribosomal RNA", at positions 1470 to 1796 of the family's 1831-position model. The record is from RNAcentral.
CCCUUAGAUGUUCUGGGCCGCACGCGCGCUACACUGACGAAUGCAACGAGCUUAUAACCUUGGCCGAAAGGUCUGGGUAAUCUCCAAAUUUCGUCGUGAUGGGGAUAGAUUAUUGCAAUUAUUAAUCUUCAACGAGGAAUUCCUAGUAAACGCAAGUCAUCAGCUUGCAUUGAUUACGUCCCUGCCCUUUGUACACACCGCCCGUCGCACCUACCGAUUGAAUGGUCCGGUGAAAUCUUCGGAUCUGAGAGAUGUUGGAUUAAUUUCUGACGCCUUUUGGAAAAGUCGCUUAAACCUUAUCAUUUAGAGGAAGGUGAAGUCGUAACA